AAUCAACGCUGGCGGCGUGCCUCAGACAUGCAAGUCGAACGCGAAACCUUCCUUCGGGAGGGGAGUAGAGUGGCGCACGGGUGAGUAACACGUAGGUAAUCUACCUUUGGGUGGGAAGUAACAGCCGGAACGGCUGCUAAUACCGCAUAAUGCAGCGGCUCGACAUCGAGACAGUUGUUAAAGCGGGGGAGUCGUAAGACCUCGCGCCUAAAGAGGAGCCUGCGGCAGAUAG
This 232-nucleotide ribosomal RNA is filed under the name uncultured bacterium. RNAcentral's name for it is "partial 16S ribosomal RNA". It matches the Rfam family "Bacterial small subunit ribosomal RNA", at positions 32 to 243 of the family's 1533-position model. The record is from RNAcentral.